CUGACCUGCUCACUGACAAAGUUUUUAAGAGCCGCGGUAUUUUGACCGUGCAAAGGUAGCAUAAUCAUUAGUUUCUUAAUUAGGGGCUUGAAUGAACGGUUUGACGAAAAAUCAUCUGUCUCUUAUUAAAUUAUAGAAUUUAACUUUUAAGUUAAAAGGCUUAAAUUUUUCUUUAAGACGAGAAGACCCUAUAGAGCUUAACAUUUAUUUUUUAUAUAAUUUAUAGUUUAUUUUUUUAUAUUUAAAGAUAAUGUUUUGUUGGGGUGACAUGAAGAAUAGUUAAACUCUUCAUUAUAAAAUCAUUAAUUUAUGUUUAUUAAGAUCCAAAAUUUUUGAUCAUAAGAUUUAGUUACCUUAGGGAUAACAGCGUAAUUAUUUUUGAGAGCUCAUAUUGACAAAAUAGAUUGCGACCUCGAUGUUGGAUUAAGAAUAAUUUUGGGUGCAGUAGCCCAACAAUUAGGUCUGU
This 466-nucleotide ribosomal RNA is filed under the name Pseudopodisma transilvanica. RNAcentral's name for it is "partial 16S ribosomal RNA". It matches the Rfam family "Archaeal large subunit ribosomal RNA", at positions 1946 to 2649 of the family's 2987-position model. Lineage: Eukaryota; Metazoa; Arthropoda; Insecta; Orthoptera; Acrididae. The record is from RNAcentral.